RNAcentral lists this ribosomal RNA (670 nucleotides) under Turbinellus floccosus. Its description in RNAcentral is "eukaryotic LSU rRNA". It matches the Rfam family "Eukaryotic large subunit ribosomal RNA", at positions 30 to 656 of the family's 3401-position model. The record is from RNAcentral. Lineage: Eukaryota; Fungi; Basidiomycota; Agaricomycetes; Gomphales; Gomphaceae.
GAACUUAAGCAUAUCAAUAAGCGGAGGAAAAGAAACUAACAAGGAUUCCCCUAGUAACGGCGAGUGAAGCGGGAAGAGCUCAAAUUUGUAAUCUGGCGGCCUUUGGCCGUCCGAGUUGUAGUCUCGAGAAGCGUUUUCUGCGCCGGACCGUGUACAAGUCCCUUGGAACAGGGCGUCACAGAGGGUGAGAAUCCCGUCUUUGACACGGACUGCCGGUGCUUUGUGAUGCGCUCUCAAAGAGUCGAGUUGUUUGGGAAUGCAGCUCAAAACGGGUGGUAAAUUCCAUCUAAAGCUAAAUAUUGGCGAAAGACCGAUAGCGAACAAGUACCGUGAGGGAAAGAUGAAAAGCACUUUGGAAAGAGAGUUAAACAGUACGUCAAAUUGCUGAAAGGGAAACGCUUGAAGUCAGUCGCGUCUCCCGGGACUCAGCCGUGCCCCCAUUCGGGGGGGUGUACUUUCUGGGUAUGACGGGCCCACAUUGAUUUUGGGCCGUCGGAGAAAGGGUUGGGGAAUGGGGCACCUUUGGGUGUGUUAUAACCCUGGGUCGCAUGCCAAGGGUGGGAAUCAAGGACCGCAACACGUUCUUCCUUUUYCAAAGGGGGCUUGGGGGUUCGCCACGCAAACCUUGCUUAAGAUGCUUGGCGUAAUGGCUUUAAACGAACCCGUUUUG